Molecule: ribosomal RNA, 253 nt
Filed under: uncultured bacterium
Lineage: Bacteria
Description: partial 16S ribosomal RNA
Rfam family: Bacterial small subunit ribosomal RNA
Source: RNAcentral
GAGGGAGGAUGCAAGCGUUAUCCGGAAUGAUUGGGCGUAAAGGGCGCGUAGGCGGUUGAAUAGGUCAGAUGUGAAAGCCCUUGGCUUAACCAAGGAAGUGCAUUUGAUACUAUUUGACUUGAGUAUGGGAGAGGGAAGUGGAAUUCCUGGUGUAGAGGUGAAAUUCGUAGAUAUCAGGAGGAACACCGGUGGCGAAAGCGACUUCCUGGACCAAUACUGACGCUGAGGCGCGAAGGCGUGGGGAGCAAACAGG